Molecule: ribosomal RNA, 373 nt
Filed under: uncultured organism
Description: partial 16S ribosomal RNA
Rfam family: Bacterial small subunit ribosomal RNA
Source: RNAcentral
GUAGGUGGCAAGCGUUGUCCGGAAUUAUUGGGCGUAAAGCGCGCGCAGGCGGUUCUUUAAGUCUGAUGUGAAAGCCCACGGCUCAACCGUGGAGGGUCAUUGGAAACUGGAGAACUUGAGUACAGAAGAGGAAAGCGGAAUUCCACGUGUAGCGGUGAAAUGCGUAGAGAUGUGGAGGAACACCAGUGGCGAAGGCGGCUUUCUGGUCUGUAACUGACGCUGAGGCGCGAAAGCGAGGGGAGCAAACAGGGAUUAGAUACCCUGGUAGUCCACGCCGUAAACGAUGAGUGCUAAGUGUUAGGGGGUUUCCGCCCCCUUAGUGCUGCAGCUAACGCAUUAAGCACUCCGCCUGGGGAGUACGGCCGCAAGGCUG